AUAUUGCGUUAGGGAUUGAAACGGCAUCCUUUUUUUCUCUUUUCAGAAAAAAAGAUAUAGUAUAAAGCCCGCCCGAAC
RNAcentral lists this small RNA (78 nucleotides) under Pedobacter psychrophilus. RNAcentral's name for it is "Pedobacter sp. CCM 8644 Flavo-1 RNA". It matches the Rfam family "Flavo-1 RNA". The record is from Rfam by way of RNAcentral. Lineage: Bacteria; Pseudomonadati; Bacteroidota; Sphingobacteriia; Sphingobacteriales; Sphingobacteriaceae.